Molecule: long non-coding RNA, 1342 nt
Filed under: Sus scrofa (pig)
Lineage: Eukaryota; Metazoa; Chordata; Mammalia; Artiodactyla; Suidae
Description: lncRNA (ENSSSCG00060013245.1)
Source: RNAcentral
AUGGACACGGUCAAGGGACACAAGGGGGGUGACCACGAGAUGGUCAGGCAGCUUUUAGUCGGAGUCAACUUGUGGUUUGUGAAGACACGGGUGGACAUGGCCGUGGGGAAAGACCAGGAGGGAGGCACCGGGAAAGCUUAUUCCUGCUUCGGGGAACACUAUGAAGCUUGCAACUGCUGGCCGAGGGAGCUUCGGGGCCUGAGAAAGCUUGGAAAGAAGGCUAGUGCUGCCAUUGACAGUGACUGCCAGCAGGUAUGUCCCAUUAUCUCCCAGGGCCUCAGCUGUCUCCUCAGUGAACUGGGCAUAGUGAUGCCCACUUUGCAGAGAGGCAGUGAGGACUGAAGACCAUCACGUGAGUGCAGUGCCUCGCACACAGAGUCCUCCUCUCUCCUCCACCGCCCUUUCCCUCACUGUUUCAUGUUUCCGUCUAGGAAAACAGGUGAAUAAGAUCCUGUCCCUUAAAAAACUUAGGCGACAGGGAAUUCCCGUCAUGGCUCAGGAGUUACAAACCUGACUAGGACCCAUGAGGAUGUGGGUUCGAUCCCUAGCCUCGCUCAGUGGGUUAAGGAUCUGGCGUUGCCGUGAGCUGUGGUGUAUGUCACAGAAGCAGCUCGGAUCCUGUGUGGCUGUGCCUGUGGGUGGCAGCUGCAGUUCCGAUUUGACCCCUAGCCUGAGAACUUCCAUAUGCUGCAGGUGCAGCCCUUAAAAAAAAAGACCAAAAAAAAAAAAAAAAGAAAAAGAAAGAAAGAAACGUAGGUGACACAAUAGGGCCAAAGAAACACGUGGCUGGGGAGUUCAAGAUGUGGCUUUACCUCUCUGUCUCUUAAUGGAGGUAAUUACACCUACCUUUUCUCUCGAGUUUGUAGGAAGAUGAAAUAAGACAACUCCGGUAAAGCUCUUGGUCCCACACCUGGCACAUUAUAGGUGCCGCUAAAUAGUUGCAUGGUCCCGCAUGGUCAAGUUCACUCACAAAAUGAAUGUGGCAAAGGCCACAGAGCGGGCAGAGAAUGUGCUGUGGGAGUUCAGGGGAAGAGGAUUUCCAACUGGAUAUCCAGGAAGGCUCCAAGGAGGAGGCAGCAUUUCAGCUAAUUUGGACACGAGGUGAUGAGAGGAGGAGGGAGAGAGAGAUUAUUCCGGGCACGUGUAUGGAAACCAGAAAAUGUGGCUGGCAGGGCAGGCUGGCGGGUGUGGACAGGAGCUUUAGGAGCCAAGGCAGGAAUGGCUGUGGCUGGAGUCUGACCUAGAAAGCCUUCAGCGAGGAACGGAGUUGGGAACGUCAACUCAACGGAGAGCUGCUAAAGUUCCCAAGGGGAGUGGGUGUGUGGGUGUGUGGGUGUGUGUG